GAUUGACCUCGGAUCAGGUAGGGAUACCCGCUGAACUUAAGCAUAUCAAUAAGCGGAGGAAAAGAAACCAACAGGGAUUGCCUCAGUAACGGCGAGUGAAGCGGCAACAGCUCAAAUUUGAAAUCUGGCUCCUUCGGGGCCCGAGUUGUAAUUUGUAGAGGACGUUUCGGGUGCGGCCCGGUCUAAGUCCCUUGGAACAGGGCGUCAUAGAGGGUGAGAAUCCCGUAUGUGACCGGUGACCAACCCCAUGUGAAACCCCUUCGACGAGUCGAGUUGUUUGGGAAUGCAGCUCAAAAUGGGUGGUAAAUUCCAUCUAAAGCUAAAUACUGGCCAGAGACCGAUAGCGCACAAGUAGAGUGAUCGAAAGAUGAAAAGCACUUUGGAAAGAGAGUCAAACAGUACGUGAAAUUGUUGAAAGGGAAGCGCUGGCAACCAGACCUGCCCCGGGCGAUCAGCGGGUGUUCUCACCCGUGCACUCGCCCGCGAUCAGGCCAGCAUCGGUUUCGGCGGUCGGAUACAGACCCGGGGAACGUGGCUCUCUUCGGGGAGUGUUAUAGCCCCGGGUGCAAUGCGGCCAGCCGGGACCGAGGACCGCGCUUCGGCUANGAUGCUGGCGUAAUGGUUGUCAG
Molecule: ribosomal RNA, 629 nt
Filed under: Sphaerophorus globosus
Lineage: Eukaryota; Fungi; Ascomycota; Lecanoromycetes; Lecanorales; Sphaerophoraceae
Description: LSU rRNA
Rfam family: Eukaryotic large subunit ribosomal RNA
Source: RNAcentral